CCUACGGGAGGCAGCAGUGGGGAAUAUUGCACAAUGGGCGAAACCCUGAUGCAGCAACGCCGCGUGAAGGAAGACGGUUUUCGGAUUUUUAAAUUCUUUUUAUCGGGAAGAAAGAAAUGACGGUACCUAAAUAAGGAGCCUCGGCUAACUACGUGCCAGCAGCCGCUGCAAUACGUAGGGCGCAAGCGUUAUCCGGAAUUACUGGGUGUAAAGGGAGAGUAGGCGGCGAGGUAAGCGAUAUGUGAAAGCCUUAAGCUUAACUUAAGGAUGGCAUAAAGAACUAUCUAGCUAGAGUACAGGAGAGGAAAGCGGAAUGCGUAGUGUAGCGGUGAAAUGCGUAGAUAUUAGGAAGAACACCAGUGGCGAAGGCGGCUUUCUGGACUGAAACUGACGCUGAGGCUCGAAAGCGUGGGGAGCGAACAGGAUUAGAUACCCCUGUAGUC
This 443-nucleotide ribosomal RNA is filed under the name uncultured bacterium. Its description in RNAcentral is "partial 16S ribosomal RNA". It matches the Rfam family "Bacterial small subunit ribosomal RNA", at positions 338 to 795 of the family's 1533-position model. The record is from RNAcentral.